Molecule: ribosomal RNA, 3120 nt
Filed under: Streptomyces spinoverrucosus
Lineage: Bacteria; Bacillati; Actinomycetota; Actinomycetes; Kitasatosporales; Streptomycetaceae
Description: 23S ribosomal RNA
Rfam family: Bacterial large subunit ribosomal RNA
Source: RNAcentral
GGCCAAGUUUUUAAGGGCGCACGGUGGAUGCCUUGGCACCAGGAACCGAUGAAGGACGUGGGAGGCCGCGAUAGUCCCCGGGGAGUCGUCAACCAGGCUUUGAUCCGGGGGUUUCCGAAUGGGGAAACCCGGCAGUCGUCAUGGGCUGUCACCCACUGCUGAACACAUAGGCAGUGUGGAGGGAACGCGGGGAAGUGAAACAUCUCAGUACCCGCAGGAAGAGAAAACAACCGUGAUUCCGGGAGUAGUGGCGAGCGAAACUGGAUGAGGCCAAACCGUAUGCGUGUGAGACCCGGCAGGGGUUGCGUAUGCGGGGUUGUGGGAUCUCUCUUCCACGGUCUGCCGGCCGUGGGACGAGUCAGAAACCGUUGAUGUAGGCGAAGGACAUGCGAAAGGUCCGGCGUAGAGGGUAAGACCCCCGUAGUCGAAACGUCAGCGGCUCGUUUGAGAGACACCCAAGUAGCACGGGGCCCGAGAAAUCCCGUGUGAAUCUGGCGGGACCACCCGCUAAGCCUAAAUAUUCCCUGGUGACCGAUAGCGGAUAGUACCGUGAGGGAAUGGUGAAAAGUACCCCGGGAGGGGAGUGAAAUAGUACCUGAAACCGUGUGCCUACAAGCCGUGGGAGCGUCGGAUGCAGCUUGCUGUGUCUCGUGACUGCGUGCCUUUUGAAGAAUGAGCCUGCGAGUUUGCGGUGUGUUGCGAGGUUAACCCGGGUGGGGUAGCCGUAGCGAAAGCGAGUCCGAAUAGGGCGUUUCAGUAGCGCGCUCAAGACCCGAAGCGGAGUGAUCUAGCCAUGGGCAGGUUGAAGCGGAGGUAAGACUUCGUGGAGGACCGAACCCACCAGGGUUGAAAACCUGGGGGAUGACCUGUGGUUAGGGGUGAAAGGCCAAUCAAACUCCGUGAUAGCUGGUUCUCCCCGAAAUGCAUUUAGGUGCAGCGUCGUGUGUUUCUUGCCGGAGGUAGAGCACUGGAUAGGCGAUGGGCCCUACCGGGUUACUGACCUUAGCCAAACUCCGAAUGCCGGUAAGUGAGAGCGCGGCAGUGAGACUGUGGGGGAUAAGCUCCAUGGUCGAGAGGGAAACAGCCCAGAGCAUCGACUAAGGCCCCUAAGCGUACGCUAAGUGGGAAAGGAUGUGGAGUCGCACAGACAACCAGGAGGUUGGCUUAGAAGCAGCCACCCUUGAAAGAGUGCGUAAUAGCUCACUGGUCAAGUGAUUCCGCGCCGACAAUGUAGCGGGGCUCAAGCGUACCGCCGAAGUCGUGUCAUUGACACAUGUACCUCCAACGAGGGUGUUGAUGGGUAGGGGAGCGUCGUCUGCCGGGUGAAGCAGCCGCGUAAGCGAGUUGUGGACGGUUGACGAGUGAGAAUGCAGGCAUGAGUAGCGAUACAAACGUGAGAAACGUUUGCGCCGAUUGACUAAGGGUUCCUGGGUCAAGCUGAUCUGCCCAGGGUAAGUCGGGACCUAAGGCGAGGCCGACAGGCGUAGUCGAUGGAUAACCGGUUGAUAUUCCGGUACCCGCUGUGAAGCGUCAAACACUGAGCAUCGUGAUGCUAAGGCCGUGAAACCGCCGUGUGCGUCUUCGGACAAGCACGGAGUGGUGGAGCCGCCGGACCAAGCGGUUAGUAGGUGAGUGAUGGGGUGACGCAGGAAGGUAGUCCAUCCCGGGCGGUGGUUGUCCCGGGGUAAGGGUGUAGGACGUCAGGUAGGUAAAUCCGCCUGGCAUGUGUCUGAGACCUGAUGCCGAGCCGAUUGUGGUGAAGUGGAUGAUCCUAUGCUGUCGAGAAAAGCCUCUAGCGAGUUUCAUGGCGGCCCGUACCCUAAACCGACUCAGGUGGUCAGGUAGAGAAUACCGAGGCGUUCGGGUGAACUAUGGUUAAGGAACUCGGCAAAAUGCCCCCGUAACUUCGGGAGAAGGGGGGCCACAUCCGGUGACGGCACUUGCUGCCGGAGCUGGGGGUGGCCGCAGAGACCAGCGAGAAGCGACUGUUUACUAAAACACAGGUCCGUGCGAAGCCGUAAGGCGAUGUAUACGGACUGACGCCUGCCCGGUGCUGGAACGUUAAGGGGACCGGUUAGCUCCAUUUCGGUGGGGCGAAGCUGAGAACUUAAGCGCCAGUAAACGGCGGUGGUAACUAUAACCAUCCUAAGGUAGCGAAAUUCCUUGUCGGGUAAGUUCCGACCUGCACGAAUGGCGUAACGACUUCUCGACUGUCUCAACCAUAGGCCCGGUGAAAUUGCACUACGAGUAAAGAUGCUCGUUUCGCGCAGCAGGACGGAAAGACCCCGGGACCUUUACUACAGUUUGAUAUUGGUGUUCGGUUCGGCUUGUGUAGGAUAGCUGGGAGACUUUGAAACGCGGACGCCAGUUCGUGUGGAGUCGUCGUUGAAAUACCAGUCUGGUCGUGCUGGAUGUCUAACCUGGGUCCGUGAUCCGGAUCAGGGACAGUGUCUGAUGGGUAGUUUAACUGGGGCGGUUGCCUCCUAAAGGGUAACGGAGGCGCCCAAAGGUUCCCUCAGCCUGGUUGGCAAUCAGGUGUUGAGUGUAAGUGCACAAGGGAGCUUGACUGUGAGACCGACGGGUCGAGCAGGGACGAAAGUCGGGACUAGUGAUCCGGCGGUGGCUUGUGGAAGCGCCGUCGCUCAACGGAUAAAAGGUACCCCGGGGAUAACAGGCUGAUCUUCCCCAAGAGUCCAUAUCGACGGGAUGGUUUGGCACCUCGAUGUCGGCUCGUCGCAUCCUGGGGCUGGAGUCGGUCCCAAGGGUUGGGCUGUUCGCCCAUUAAAGCGGUACGCGAGCUGGGUUUAGAACGUCGUGAGACAGUUCGGUCCCUAUCCGCUGUGCGCGUAGGAGUCUUGAGAAGGGCUGUCCCUAGUACGAGAGGACCGGGACGGACGAACCUCUGGUGUGCCAGUUGUUCUGCCAAGGGCAUGGCUGGUUGGCUACGUUCGGGAGGGAUAACCGCUGAAAGCAUCUAAGCGGGAAGCCUGCUUCGAGAUGAGGACUCCCACCCACUUGAUGGGGUAAGGCUCCCAGUAGACGACUGGGUUGAUAGGCCGGAUAUGGAAGCACGGUAACGUGUGGAGUUGACCGGUACUAAUAGGCCGAGGGCUUGUCCUC